Molecule: ribosomal RNA, 240 nt
Filed under: uncultured bacterium
Lineage: Bacteria
Description: partial 16S ribosomal RNA
Rfam family: Bacterial small subunit ribosomal RNA
Source: RNAcentral
GAUCAUGGCUCAGGACGAACGCUGGCGGCGCGCCUAACACGUGCAAGUCGAACGGUGAAGAGGAGCUUGCUCCUCGGAACAGUGGCGGACGGGUGAGUAACACGUGAGCAACCUGGCUCUAAGAGGGGGACAACAGUUGGAAACGACUGCUAAUACCGCAUAACGUAUCGGGAUGGCAUCUUCCUGAUACCAAAGAUUUUAUCGCUUAGAGAUGGGCUCGCGUCUGAUUAGAUAGUUGGG